UCUUUUGAUCAUAAAAAAGCUUCUGUCCAAGUUUGGUAGAAAUCCAGUAUAGUUUAAGAAAGUUAUUGAAAUUUUAAAUCUUUAACCACAGAGUGAAUGUGCUGGUGUCCUGUAGCCAUUCUUCCCCUAUUCCAAUUUUUCUGGGGUAAAACCAGGAUCAGGCCAAUGUUUCCCCCUUGUAGCACGAGAAGCUAAAUCCCCC
RNAcentral lists this long non-coding RNA (202 nucleotides) under Mytilus galloprovincialis (Mediterranean mussel). The record is from RNAcentral. Lineage: Eukaryota; Metazoa; Mollusca; Bivalvia; Mytilida; Mytilidae.